This 85-nucleotide transfer RNA is filed under the name Candidatus Altimarinota bacterium. RNAcentral's name for it is "tRNA-Tyr". It matches the Rfam family "tRNA". From Rfam's summary of the family: Transfer RNA (tRNA) molecules are approximately 80 nucleotides in length. Their secondary structure includes four short double-helical elements and three loops (D, anti-codon, and T loops). Further hydrogen bonds mediate the characteristic L-shaped molecular structure. tRNAs have two regions of fundamental functional importance: the anti-codon, which is responsible for specific mRNA codon recognition, and the 3' end, to which the tRNAs corresponding amino acid is attached (by aminoacyl-tRNA synthetases). tRNAs cope with the degeneracy of the genetic code in two manners: having more than one tRNA (with a specific anti-codon) for a particular amino acid; and 'wobble' base-pairing, i.e. permitting non-standard base-pairing at the 3rd anti-codon position. The record is from RNAcentral. Lineage: Bacteria; Candidatus Altimarinota.
GGGUCGAUACCAGAGCGGUCAAAUGGAGCGGACUGUAAAUCCGCCGGCUACGCCUUCGUAAGUUCGAAUCUUACUCGGCCCACCA